CCAGCGGUUAGCGUCGCCGGAUCCCUGGAGCUUGGGGCGUCCGGGCGAAGGGCAGCGUUUCAACCGGCGGGGCCCUUACUCUGCAUUGCACGCGCCGUGAGUCUCUGCUGUUAAUUCUUGCACAAAUUUGUAUAGUUUGCACAGAUGGCGCAAAAGGUAGUUAACCCUAGCCGCCCGGCCCUAUGCUGUUAGAGGAUGCAGUCGAUGACCAUGCGCAUGAUUUCAGAAACGUGAUUCGGAUCUACAAUGUUCAGAAAGAGAAUCGUCUGUUGGCAAUUUAUGAUAGGCAUAAUACCGCCGUUUGAUCAUACCUAGGCGAUUACUACUGUUUCGCAGAUUAUUAUGUUUUGUGUACUGCUGCUGCGGAUCAUGUUAUUUAUUUUUAAACGAAAAAUAGAGGGAUGCAGAUUAUGGUAACUGUGAAAGCAGCUAGUGAGCAGGGCAUUUGUCACACUCACUUGACAGCCUUUUCAUUGCAGGCACAUACUAUCCCGAAUGUCACUAAACGAGCUUCUUGGAGCCUGUUUUUCUUUCUUAAAUCGGAAACCACAUUUUUAAUGUUUUGAAAAGGAAAUCCGAGUUUUCGUCCCACCAGUACAUAUACACUACAUACCUGUAGACUUUUAUAAAUAAAUAUGUUUAUUUGAGGGCUACAUGAAAAGGACAAAUAUGUGGAUCUAUAUAGAUGUACUGUCACUGUUAUAGAUCCACACGUUUGUUUUGUUUUUGUGCUGCCCACAAAUGAACAUAUUUUGAACAAAAUUGUGCGUAUACGGUAUAUCUAUAUCACAUCUAGAUGUAUGUGUGUGUUUUAUUUCUGAAGCUUUGAAAUUUCACUUCUAAAAAAAACUGAAAACAAUUUUGGGCAGGCAGCUAAAAUGCCUCUCUCUAAUACACCAUCUCUCGUGCUAACACAUCUGAAGUUAUUAGAGGACUGCAAAAACUUUUGGAAGAAGCACGGCACAAUACCUAGUUGGGUUGCUAAAAGAGAAAGCUAGAUGAUAUGGAUAAUCUACUAAUCGUAAACGAAUUGCUCUUCUGCUGCAUUAAUUGAUCAGCUUUGGAUGAGUAUAUCAAACACACCUAUACUUGGCUGCUUCACUGAAGAAUCAUAUCUCAAGAGGAACAUGAGGUACUAGUAAUGUGUAACUACUGCAGAAGAUAGAAUUCUCUGCCAUUUGUUAUGCAUAAUUUACAUGAGUUUCGGAAUAAAGCUUGUACUUUUCUUGAUGCUAUAUCAGUAUCUGUCUAAAUAUUGUUGUGCAAUCCAGUUUGCCUGAAUAUAAAAACCUUCUAAUAUCUCAUAAUUACAAUUUACAGCAAGCAAUUCUACUGACUGCUAACAUACUCAAAGGAGCUUCUUUAUGGUACAUUGGGCCUUAAAGAUUAAACAUAAGGGCACCUUUCAUCUAAAAUGUACACCUAGUUUGGAACCGGUAGAGGGAGCAGCGAGGCAGUGGAGGCUCUGCUGAUCAUAGGAAGCGAAGCAUGGCACACGGAAAAGAACCAAGCUGUCACUGUCAUGGCGACACACACACACACACACACACAAAAGGGAAAAAAAACUCUAAGAUAUCAUCAUCUUCAAGUCUUGUCAGCUCGUGGUAGGAAAACUAUUUGCAGGACAGUCUUAGGGCUGCCCAAACUGUUGAAUGGUCUGGAUAGAUGGAAUAUGUCUGACCCUUAUAAAAUCAUCACCACCAUCCCCCAAUUUACCAAGAAAGGAGCUUGGCAUGCCCACCAAUCUCAACCUCUGCAAUGUAGCAAGUGACUGGAACCCAGCAGGAAUAGCUGCCAGCUUUGCACAUGACAUGAUCCACACUUCUUGAACACAUGGCAUUGCUCCAUCAACAACAUCCCACCGCUCCAGUUCCUCAAGUUCAGUUAUGAUGAAGAUUUUCAGCUUUAAAAAACCGGAACGGCAGCAUCUCAUUACUUUCCCCUUGUAUGCAUUGUUCAGCUGGAGGAACAUCAGAUUCGGCAAUCGAACAAGAACUGAAAGCGGGUCAUCUUCCAGCUGUGAGAAGCUCAAGCGCAGCUUUGUAAGGUUGUCUAGUUGAGCAAACCAAUUUGGCAAUGUCUGCAAAGAUCCAGCUAGAUUCAGCUUCUGUAGACAUGAAGAAGGUUCCAACAUUGCAAGGUCAAGUGGCCUGGUGCCAUCGCUAGGGAAGAUGGAUAGGUAUGAUAGUUCCUUCAUAUUGUUCACAGAAGAGCAUAGCUCUUUGGCAUCUUCAUUUUUUAAAUCCUCUAUCGAAAGCUUCUUCAGCUGGGUAAGGCUUGCAAUCUCACGAACCACGGCUGUGCUUGCUUGCAACCCAGUUAAUAUCUGGAGUUUGUCAAGCUGAUUAAAUCCUAUCGGGAUCUGGAUGCAUUGGUCAUCUUGUUUCAUCUCUAGAUGCCGUAGAUUUCUUAAACAUUUGAUUUGAAACGUGAUUCGCUUUAUCUGAGUCUUCCUGAUAUCAAGAGUUUGCAAGUGAUAGAGCUUGUUCAUUGUUCUUGGGAGCUUCUUCAACUUCGUUCCCCUUAGUCCAAGGUACCUCAAGUGAACUAAGCCUCCGAUCUCUUUUGGAAGUUCUAGCAUGUUACCAUCUUCAAAAUCCAGAAUUCUUACCAGACCAAAGCUCCUUGAAAUAACAUUGCAUUUAAUUGCAGUUGGUGCACUGUUGUUGAACAUGAAAACAGACCGCAAUCUUUUCUUGCGUUCAUUGCUGAAUGAUACAUGAGGCAUUUGCAGGGAUACGCGCCGAUCACUAACACUUGGGCCUUUAUCAGCGCAGAUGAUGGAAAAUUUCUCAUUUUCAGACAGCCAAAUGGCAAGAUCGUGAAGAAGAUCAUGAACUCUGCAUGCUUUUACUCUCCCACUGAUGCUUGCCGUUGCCACUUCUACCAUGCUUUUGUUGAUCAGCUCCGCGAGGUACUUCUCUGCAGUAAUUUCAAGUGUCUCAUCAGCCUUUUCUUUCACAAACCCUUCGGCAAUCCAUAACCGAACUAAUUUCUUUCGGGAGAUCUGUGACUUAUAUGGGAUUACAGAGAGCAGCAUAAAACAUGGCUUCAAAGGGUGUGGGAGGUCCCUAUAACUUGAUAGCAGUGUCUGCUGAAUUCCCAUUUGACCAUUGCUUAGAUCCUUCUGAAUGCUUGCCAGGACACUUUUCCACUCAGUAUCUGUUUGUUCUUUCCCGGACAUCAUACUCCCUGCAGCAACAAUAGCAAGAGGCAAACCAACACAUUUCUUCACAAUGUCCUCAGCAGUUUCCUUUACAGCGUCCGGACAUAUUCCAUCCUGCAAGAAUGCCUUUUUGCAAAACAAAUUCCAGGAAUCUUCAAAUGGCAAUGGCUGAAGCUGCUGUACAGUGCUCUUUGCGCCUUCAACUGAGCCAGCCACAGCGGCAUUACGAGUUGUCACAAGCACUCGGCUUCCGCUGCAAUUUCUGGGCAGUACUAGCUUGAUGAUAUCCCACAACCCUCUGUCCCAGACAUCAUCAAACACAAGCAGAAACUUUUUACAGCCAAGGCCACUCAAGAGCAAUUCUUGGAGCCGCUUCUCGCAGAGGGAGCUCGCCUCUGCAGAGGGGAUCCUCAUCAGCCCCUUGACCAUCUCACAGAGGAUAGAGCGCAGCUCCAUCGUUUUCGACACAUAGAUCCACGCACAGCAUUCGAAAUGCUUCUUCACGUCUGGGUUGGUGUACGCCUUCUUGGCAAGUGUGGUCUUCCCAACACCUCCCAUGCCAACCAAGGAUAUGACACUUAGCUCCGACUCCAAACCUCCAUCCAAGAUAUGCCGAAGCAACACAUCCAGAUAUUUAUCCAGGCCUACAACAUCUAUGUCAUGAACCAUCGGAGAUGAGGCUAAAAGACCAUGGAUCCACUUAUCACUUGAUUCUCUAGGUCUUUCAACUGCAUACUCCAGUCGGCGACGGGAGAUGUCACUCAGCUGAGCCCGGAUGCGCCUGAUCCGAGCCCCGACGUCAUGCCUCGAUCUCAGCUUACCAAGAACACAGCAGCCUUGUACUUGGCUGGCGUCGAAGAUGUCGAUGGCGUCCUCCGAGUCGGACAUGAUGUCCCUCAUCUGGUCAAUCCAUGCUUCUCUGGCGACGCCGCCCUCAAUGCUGCAAACCUCCAUCUCGUGAAGGAAGAGCUGCAUGCUGUGGAGCUCAUCACGGAGCCAUCCGACAUCACGACUUACGGACCAGAGGCGCCGGCCAUGGUCGGUUGCUCUGCUGCUAAGCAGGGAGCCUAAGACAUGGAUCAAAGAAGCAAGCACGGGUUCGGCCAUGGAAAUGCUGGUCUUCCUUUCUGUUGUUGGAGAAGGAAGGGGGAAGCUCGGUAGUCGCUACCAAUUUUCUGGUAGGAAGUCGAGGUCAAUGGGCAGUGCUGUACCACUGAUUAGAAGAUACUUUCAACCACUUGAUGCCCAACUGAGAUCCUUGGGCCCACUGGCAGUUCCUCUGCAAUCUGGGUCAACUAUUCCUGAUCAACCGUGCAUAAUUUCCCAGAAGCUAGAUGCAUAAAACGAUGCUUGACCAACUGGACAAAUCUUAAGCCAACAAAUGAGCAGCCCGCGACCCGGAGCUUGAUAGGAUCCAUAUGUUCCCCUAUUCGUAAAGAAAGUAAAAAAGCAAAACACAGUAAACAGUUUCACAUCCUUGCUACAUGAAGUCACAUUUCAGUUCAGUUAAGACCUACUAGGUGGCAGAACGGUGCUGCUUUUUUUCUGGGGAAACAUAUGUGCUUACUGACUUUAACGAUGCUCUUUUGCAGGAUAUUUUCUUGGAUGUUUCAACUAUGAAGCACUGGAGAAGCUUAUGGGCCUUAGUGAUCUGGCUGCAAGGCACUCACUAAUGCACAAGGGAUUUCGCUCACUCGGCCUGUCAGCGGCUGAAAGCUUGUUUCCACAUUGAGCCUUGGGUUGUGCUUUGUGAUCUUUGUCAGGGCCUCGAAGUUGGUGCUAAUGGACGGAUCACGGAUGAUAACUCAUAUACCAACUUCACUCCAAUAAAUUUUCAAGUAGCUCGAAUACUCCAUACCGAGCAGCUCUCCUAGCGUAAUUCUCACCUCUUGCGAUUUUUUAUGUGUAGGUGUAUCAUGUCCGAGGUUGCAUCAGGAUUCAGGACCAGACACUGAAGACAUCUAACAAGAUUGUCCUCGUCCUUCUGCUCACCAGUCACGCUGCUGCCAUCCGUUCGAGUUCAGACCAUUCUCUGUCAGCUCCAACACUUGGAGUUAAGAUCUUAGGCUCUUAGUCAUCAAUCACAGCAACCAACCAUCCUAGUGCAGCAUCGAACAUCUAGCAUAACAACGCCAUUACGUACGUACAUAGUGGGGAUCACACCACGAGGGGGAGCACCCCCUUUCGCCCCUUUCCUUUCUGUUCGCUUACGACGGAACCGCAUUACGUCUGGAUGCAUUGCAGCAUUGUACGCAUCGAGUUAACGUCUUGUUCUUGGCUCAUCAGAUUUGGAAGGCCCCCAUCGAUCUCAUCCGUGCCCCUCCUGUGGCUCCUGGAGAUGCCAAACAGCCAACCGUGUAAGUGGAAUGCGCGGCUGGCCGGCAAGCAUGCAAUGCAAUGCAACGCACGUAGCGUACGUGCGUCAAAGACUGGUGAAAAGAUGAGACCCGCCCCCGUCCGCACGGUGCGAUUAUGUUCUUCUGAAUGGCACAUCGGCGGCCGGAGGACCACCGGCGCGCCGAGGUGGAGGAGGAUGAACCUGGCCGCGUUCGUGCGUGUGCUGAGCCACAGUUUGCUGCCAAAGUCGUCCUUGUCGGGCACCACAUUGCGUGGCUUUUGACAUUUAUGUGUCACCCUCCCAUUAUUCCCCUCCAAUGGUGGACACGCAGCAUAGGCUCGGGAGCGGGCCAUGCCAUGUUUCCCUUGGAGCCGGGCGUGUCUCCGUGUGCCACUUGCGACAGUAGCCCGGCGGACAUCUGUCUCCGCGGCCCACGGAUUUUGUAAUGUCACUAGCUGAUUGAUUGACCAACAGACCAAGUGAUACGUUGCAUCAACACGUCGGCCGGUGAGCUUCGAAAUGCUGUACACAAAGGAUCAUUAUCUCGGGAAGUUCUGUACUUCUCUACUUCUGCAAGAGUUAUGUAGUACAGCUUUGCUUACUUGCUAAGACAGGUAGUACAGUUUAGUCUGGUGCAUGCACAAUAUGCAGGCAUUAUUACAUCGUCGUGUUAAUUACGUCAUCUGUACAAAGCAAACGAAUAUAGCUACGCCAUAUGCAUUCUGCCACUUGUUCGCUUAUUCCCAUUUUCCAACUUGUGGCUGCGUGGUAGCUCUGCUUGUUGGAGCAUACAGAGAAG
Molecule: long non-coding RNA, 6303 nt
Filed under: Triticum aestivum (bread wheat)
Lineage: Eukaryota; Viridiplantae; Streptophyta; Magnoliopsida; Poales; Poaceae
Description: long non-coding RNA (TAES_LNC000458)
Source: RNAcentral